UAGGGAAUCUUGGACAAUGGGCGAAAGCCUGAUCCAGCCAUGCCGCGUGAGUGAUGAAGGCCUUAGGGUUGUAAAGCUCUUUCGCCAGGGAAGAUAAUGACGGUGCCUGGAUAAGAAGCCCCGGCAAACUUCGUGCCAGCAGCCGCGGUAAUACGAAGGGGGCUAGCGUUGUUCGGAAUUACUGGGCGUAAAGCGCACGUAGGCGGUUUUCCAAGUUGGAGGUGAAAUCCCUGGGCUCAACCCGGGAACUACCUCCAAAACUGGAUGACUCGAGUCCGAGAGAGGUGAGUGGAAUUUCCAGUGUAGAGGUGAAAUUCGUAGAUAUUGGAAAGAACACCAGUGGCGAAGGCGGCUCACUGACUCGGUACUGACGCUGAGGUGCGACAGCGUGGGGAGCAAACA
RNAcentral lists this ribosomal RNA (402 nucleotides) under uncultured bacterium. RNAcentral describes it as "bacterial SSU rRNA". It matches the Rfam family "Bacterial small subunit ribosomal RNA", at positions 355 to 774 of the family's 1533-position model. The record is from RNAcentral.